CUACGGGGUGCUGCAGUGGGGAAUAUUGGACAAUGGGCGCAAGCCUGAUCCAGCAAUACCGCGUGUGUGAAGAAGGCCUGCGGGUUGUAAAGCACUUUCAAUUGUGAAGAAAAGCCUGGGGUUAAUACCCUCGGGUCUUGACGUUAACUUUAGAAGAAGCACCGGCUAACUCCGUGCCAGCAGCCGCGGUAAUACGGAGGGUGCGAGCGUUAAUCGGAAUUACUGGGCGUAAAGCGUGCGUAGGCGGCUAGGUCAGUCAGAUGUGAAAGCCCCGGGCUUAACCUGGGAACUGCAUUUGAUACUGGCUGGCUAGAGUAUGGUAGAGGGAAGUGGAAUUCCGGGUGUAGCGGUGAAAUGCGUAGAUAUCCGGAGGAACACCAGUGGCGAAGGCGACUUCCUGGACCAAUACUGACGCUGAGGUACGAAAGCGUGGGUAGCAAACAGGAUUAGAUACCCCUGUAGUC
Molecule: ribosomal RNA, 464 nt
Filed under: uncultured bacterium
Lineage: Bacteria
Description: partial 16S ribosomal RNA
Rfam family: Bacterial small subunit ribosomal RNA
Source: RNAcentral